RNAcentral lists this ribosomal RNA (500 nucleotides) under uncultured Desulfobulbus sp. Its description in RNAcentral is "bacterial SSU rRNA". It matches the Rfam family "Bacterial small subunit ribosomal RNA", at positions 903 to 1382 of the family's 1533-position model. The record is from RNAcentral. Lineage: Bacteria; Pseudomonadati; Thermodesulfobacteriota; Desulfobulbia; Desulfobulbales; Desulfobulbaceae.
CCCGCUCAGAAACUACAAAGGAAGUUGACGGGGCCCGCACAAGCGGUGGAGCAUGUGGUUUAAUUCGAUGCAACGCGAAGAACCUUACCUGGUCUUGACAUCCCGGAGACCCUUAGGAAACUAGGGGUGCUUCCAUCUGGAAGAAUCUGGAGACAGGUGCUGCAUGGCUGUCGUCAGCUCGUGUCGUGAGAUGUUGGGUUAAGUCCCGCAACGAGCGCAACCCUUGCCUUUAGUUGCCAGCAGUUCGGCUGGGCACUCUAAAGGGACUGCCGGUGUUAAACCGGAGGAAGGUGGGGAUGACGUCAAGUCCUCAUGGCCUUUAUGACCAGGGCUACACACGUACUACAAUGGCCGAUACAAAGGGCAGCGACACUGCGAGGUGAAGCCAAUCCCGUAAAAUCGGUCUCAGUCCGGAUUGGAGUCUGCAACUCGACUCCAUGAAGUUGGAAUCGCUAGUAAUCGUGGAUCAGCAUGCCACGGUGAAUACGUUCCCGGGCCUU